RNAcentral lists this ribosomal RNA (462 nucleotides) under uncultured bacterium. Its description in RNAcentral is "partial 16S ribosomal RNA". It matches the Rfam family "Bacterial small subunit ribosomal RNA", at positions 28 to 506 of the family's 1533-position model. The record is from RNAcentral.
GAUGAACGCUGACAGAAUGCUUAACACAUGCAAGUCGAUGGGGAAGUGGUGCUUGCACCAUGGCAACCAUGGCGGACGGGUGAGUAACGCGUAAGGGACUUACCUGCAGGACUGGGAUAACAGGGGGAAACUCCUGACAAGACCGGAUAAUGUCAUGGAGCUGCAUGGCUUUAUGAUGAAAGGAGACGCCUGCGGAGAGCCUUGCGUCCUAUUAGCUAGUUGGUGAGGUAAUGGCUCACCAAGGCGAAGAUAGGUAGCCGGCCUGAGAGGGUGGACGGCCACAAGGGGACGGAGAUACGGCCCUUACUCCUACGGGAGGCAGCAGUGGGGAAUAUUGGACAAUGGGGGCAACCCUGAUCCAGCAAUUCUGUGUGCACGAAGAAGGUUUUCGGAUUGUAAAGUGCUUUCAGCAGGGAAGAAGUAAGUGACGGUACCUGCAGAAGAAGCGACGGCUAAAUACGU